GAUGAACGCUGGCGGCGUGCCUAAUACAUGCAAGUCGAGCGAACAGACGAGGAGCUUGCUCCUCUGACGUUAGCGGCGGACGGGUGAGUAACACGUGGAUAACCUACCUAUAAGACUGGGAUAACUUCGGGAAACCGGAGCUAAUACCGGAUAAUAUAUUGAACCGCAUGGUUCAAUAGUGAAAGACGGUUUUGCUGUCACUUAUAGAUGGAUCCGCGCCGCAUUAGCUAGUUGGUAAGGUAACGGCUUACCAAGGCAACGAUGCGUAGCCGACCUGAGAGGGUGAUCGGCCACACUGGAACUGAGACACGGUCCAGACUCCUACGGGAGGCAGCAGUAGGGAAUCUUCCGCAAUGGGGGAAAGCUUGACGGAGCAACGCCGCGGGAGUGAUGAAGGUCUUCGGAUCGUAAAACUCUGUUAUUAGGGAAGAACAAAUGUGUAAGUAACUAUGCACGUCUUGACGGUACCUAAUCAGAAAGCCACGGCUAACUACGUG
RNAcentral lists this ribosomal RNA (497 nucleotides) under uncultured bacterium. RNAcentral describes it as "partial 16S ribosomal RNA". It matches the Rfam family "Bacterial small subunit ribosomal RNA", at positions 28 to 507 of the family's 1533-position model. The record is from RNAcentral.